Molecule: ribosomal RNA, 206 nt
Filed under: uncultured bacterium
Lineage: Bacteria
Description: partial 16S ribosomal RNA
Rfam family: Bacterial small subunit ribosomal RNA
Source: RNAcentral
UGCGCAGGCGGUUGAGUAAGACAGAUGUGAAAUCCCCGAGCUUAACUCGGGAAUGGCAUAUGUGACUGUUCGACUAGAGUGUGUCAGAGGGAGGUGGAAUUCCACGUGUAGCAGUGAAAUGCGUAGAUAUGUGGAAGAACACCGAUGGCGAAGGCAGCCUCCUGGGACAUAACUGAGCUCAGGCACGAAAGCGUGGGGAGCAAACA